GUCCUGCGCUUGACUCCUCUGCACCAGCUACACCCAGAUCCUUAAACAAUCACGCACAAAAACCAUGGGGAAAACCAAGGGUUAAAUAAUGAACAUAUAAUUGGGGAAUAGAAACCGUGACAGUACCUCCCCUCGACGCGCGGCUCCGGAGACGACUCCGAAGACGAGGCGCAGGGCGAUCCGGUUGGAGACGGUGGAACUCCAGUAGCAACGAAGGGUCCAAAAGGUCCUCCACCGGCACCCAGCAUCUCUCGGACCGUACCCCUCCCACUCCACGAGGUACUGAAGGCCCCUCGCCCGACGCAUCGAGUCCAGUAUGGAUUGAACAGCAUACGCCAGGGCCCCCUCGAUGUCCAGAGGGGGCGGAGGAACCUCCCGAACCUCAGACUCCCGGAGCGGACCAGCCACCACCGGCCUGAUGGAAUGAAGGGUUAAGAUGGUAAUCGGGGGGAAGCUGUAACCUGUAGCAAACCUCGUUCAGGAAUGAAGGGUUAAGAUGGUAAUCGGGGGGAAGCUGUAACCUGUAGCAAACCUCGUUCAGGAAUGAAGGGUUAAGAUGGUAAUCGGGGGGAAGCUGUAACCUGUAGCAAACCUCGUUCAGUCUCCUCUGGACUUUAAAUGGUCCCUAAAACCGCGGGCCCAGCUUCCGACAGGGCAGGCGGAAGGGCAGGUCGAGAGCCAGACCCUGUCCCCCGGUGCGAACACUGGGGCCUCACUGCGGUGGCGAUCGGCACUCGCCUUCUGACACCUCACGGCCUGUUGCAGGUGCACAUGAGCGGCGUCCCAGGUCUGCCCUUUUAUGGAAGGGGGUUGAAUGAAGAAAGAAAUAGCGAUCUGUUUGCCCAAAUAGGGGAGUCAUUUUGUAGCUGUUGCUGGUUGAGCAGUAGACUACAUGUAUUGUGUCAUUGUUGCUAUGACUUUUUGAACUUCCAGUGGACAUGGGAAUUCUGAACCUCAAACAGAGUUGGCCAAGCACUGUCAAUUAUUCAAGUCCUUCCACAUCUCUCCUCUUUCAAUUCACUUCUCAUCAGGAAUGGAGGGAUGGAAGGACGAAGGGAUGAUUGUAGAUCCAUCCAUUCAUGGGGUUUUAGUCACUGUGGAGUGUUUUUAUAACCAGAGGGUUGAUUGGUGAUUGGCAUGUUAUUGGUUAUUGAUCUAAGAACCAUGUCAUCCUGUGGACGUGUCAAAGACACCCCAGGGGAUAGGCUGUCAACCAGCAGGAUCGGUCGAUUCGAUUGGUUUAGAAACAGACAUGCUCACACUAGAUACACGUGUGCCUUGUAUGUGUGUGUGUGAGUGUGUGUCUCAUUUAUAGUAGAAUGAAUGACUGUAUUGAGCCCAAGUGUAUCUUGAUUCCCGAGAGUGUCUCGCAAAACUCUCUCUCUCUCUCUCUCUCUCUCUCUCUCUCUCUCUCUCACACACUUUCUCUCUCUCUCUCUCUCUCUCUCUCUCUCUCUCUCUCUCUCUCUCUCUCUCUCUCUCUCUCUCUCUCUCUCUUUCUCUCUCUCUCUCUCUCUCUCUCUCUCUCUCUCUCACACACUUUCUCUUUCUCGCUGACUCUCUUUUUUCUAAAUUAUUGUACUAUACUGCCAUCUUCUGUAAGAACUCGGAAAGACACCGAAUUACACAAGAACUAGUCAAUUACCAUUCGGCAAUUUAACUUGGAUUGUAAUUAAAUUCACGUGAACCAAGUGCUGUCGAUUCAGAUUACUGUAAGAGAAGAGACUUGUCAGUCACUUAUUACUGUGUGUGUGUGUGUGUGUGUGUGUGUGUGUGUGUGUGUGUGUGUGUGUGUGUGUGUGUGUGUGUGUGUGUGUGUGUGUGUGUGUGUGAGAACCUAUUUUACCCCCAACUGUCAAGGAGCAGCUACUUUGAACUGAAAAUCCACUAGACUCUAACCCAGUCAUAUAGGUCACCUGUUCCAGUACCCAGUCAUAUAGGUCACCUGUUCCAGUACCCAGUCAUAUAGGUCACCUGUUCAGGUAUCCAGUCAUAUAGGUCACCUGUUCAGGUAUCCAGUCAUAUAGGUCACCUGUUCAGGUAUCCAGUCAUAUAGGUCACCUGUUCAGGUAUCCAGUCAUAUAGGUCACCUGUUCCAGUACCCAGUCAUAUAGGUCACCUGUUCAGGUAUCCAGUCAUAUAGGUCACCUGUUCAGGUAUCCAGUCAUAUAGGUCACCUGUUCAGGUAUCCAGUCAUAUAGGUCACCUGUUCAGGAAUCCAGUCAUAUAGGUCACCUGUUCAGGUAUCCAGUCAUAUAGGUCACCUGUUCAGGAAUCCAGUCAUAUAGGUCACCUGUUCAGGUAUCCAGUCAUAUAGGUCACCUGUUCAGGUAUCCAGUCAUAUAGGUCACCUGUUCAGGUAUCCAGUCAUAUAGGUCACCUGUUCAGGUAUCCAGUCAUAUAGGUCACCUGUUCAGGUAUCCAGUCAUAUAGGUCACCUGUUCAGGUAUCCAGUCAUAUAGGUCACCUGUUCAGGUAUCCAGUCAUAUAGGUCACCUGUUCAGGUAUCCAGUCAUAUAGGUCACCUGUUCAGGUAUCCAGUCAUAUAGGUCACCUGUUCAGGUAUCCAGUCAUAUAGGUCACCUGUUCAGGUAUCCAGUC
Oncorhynchus keta (chum salmon) is the source of this 2601-nucleotide long non-coding RNA. RefSeq lists it as uncharacterized. The record is from RefSeq and is a predicted model, not a curated record. The transcript has 3 exons. NCBI's taxonomy places the organism in Eukaryota, Metazoa, Chordata, Actinopteri, Salmoniformes, Salmonidae.